GCAGGAUCAACCAGGUAGCAUUCCUCACUGACAUCAGCCCGCACGACACAAGGCCGGAACGGGACCGAACGUCGUUCGAAAUAAGCACUUAAGCCUUUGAGGACAAAUAGGAGUCGUGGACUCCGUGCCCUUGUAGUUUUCUGCAUCCCAGCGCCCGAGCAAGAACUCAUGCACCAUGGAACCGACAACAAACGUGUGGUCCAUGGGUCACAAAUCUCGCUGCGAGUUUCACCCGCGGCCGCACCGAGAAAACGGUCAGCCUAAGGUGAACCAAGAGAGAUUGACUACCAAAUUCCAUCAUCUAGGUAUGCAACACAGGAAACCGAAGGACGGCCAAUAGAAAUUAUGCCAACAAUGAAGAGGAAAGCAGGGUAAGACGUCACCGCACAAAGCAGGGAUCCAACCAACCCAAGCUAUC
This 418-nucleotide unclassified non-coding RNA is filed under the name Manettia cordifolia. Its description in RNAcentral is "partial external transcribed spacer". Lineage: Eukaryota; Viridiplantae; Streptophyta; Magnoliopsida; Gentianales; Rubiaceae. The record is from RNAcentral.